UCAAAAAUUAAAAAUAGGCUAGUGUUAUAGCAAAUCGGGCAAAUAUCAGAAUUUGGCAAAGGAUUUCUCAGUGUUGUGAAGGUAUGAAGUAAUAAAAUUGAUAUUGUACUUGGAUUCCAAUGCAAAAGUUUAUGAUCGUUGCAAGAGCUUGAAGCUGGUAAUUAAUAACUUCAACUUUGUCAACCACCCAAGAGCUUGAAGCUGGUAACUAACAACUUCUGCUUAGAAUGCUCUUAGUCGACCAUCCAAGAGCCAGAGAACCUACUAUGAUGAUAAUGAAAUUUGGAUGCCUCCCAUGGUUCGGUGGCAACCUUUGUAAAGGAGAAGCUCACACCGGCCGGAGUUGUUGUUGUAGCUAUCUCCUGUUGUUGGUAGGGAUGUCAACUUGUGUGAUGAAGUGCAAUUUGGACAACGAGGGAGAUUGGAUAAAAUUGAUACUCUGGGGACACGUCUGGUUCUGAUCAUCCUGCUAGCCAAUGGGAGGGUUCCAUUGGACUCAUUGUUCAAGAACAUAAAAAGAUCUUCAGCAAUCACAGCAUGGAAUAUUCAUCCAUAAGCCAGAGGUUAGAAGAAGAAGAACCAUCGCAGAGUGCCCUCUUGUAACUUAUAACAAGGCAACUGAGCUGCUUUUUUUGCAUAACUGGAAGAUUCAAAACACUAACCAAAUAAAAAUUAUGACAAAAAAACUAAAAGAGAGAAUAAAACGUGUUGCUUGUAAUGCAUGAGGUGCUUGUAAUGGGAUGCAACAUGAGGCCUAGCAUGAGCAAAACUUAAGACCCCCUCAAGCUUCAUAAAUUUGACCCCACCAGGCACAUCGGAGAAGGUGGCGGAGGGCAUAAAGAAGGCGGAGGAGGCAUGUGAAGGCGACGCAGAGAGUGGGGAGUGCGCAGCGGCAUGGGAUGAGGUGGAGGAGCUCAGUGCAGCCGCGAGCCAUGCACGCCACAAGCUCAAGGGCUCCUCCGACCCCUUCGAGAAUUACUGCGAGGAUAACCUCGAGACCGACGAGUUCCGCAUCUAUGAGGACUGAUCAAGGACCCACUAGGAAGAGGAAAUAAUCGUCCGUUAGUAGUAGUGAUAAGUAAUAAUCUCAAGGAGAAGAAAGUGGCGUUUGUGCAUGCCUUGUUUGAUGGCAGGGUGCAUGUAAUCUUUAGCAGGUGGCUUUUCUUGGAGGGC
Molecule: long non-coding RNA, 1173 nt
Filed under: Elaeis guineensis (African oil palm)
Lineage: Eukaryota; Viridiplantae; Streptophyta; Magnoliopsida; Arecales; Arecaceae
Description: long non-coding RNA (EGUI_LNC069436)
Source: RNAcentral